AUCCCAUAGUGAGGACACUUACAAAGUAACUCCUUAAAUCACUCCCAAGCCUCAUACAAAGACUCGUCAUCCAAUUGUUGGAAUGUUGUGAUCUCGUUCCUCAACUU
RNAcentral lists this small nucleolar RNA (107 nucleotides) under Gossypium arboreum. RNAcentral describes it as "Plant small nucleolar RNA R71". It matches the Rfam family "Plant small nucleolar RNA R71". Rfam says of the family: R71 is a member of the C/D box family of snoRNAs containing the C (UGAUGA) and D (CUGA) box motifs. Multiple nearly identical copies of this snoRNA have been identified in Arabidopsis, and it is thought to function as a 2'-O-ribose methylation guide for 18S ribosomal RNA. The record is from Rfam by way of RNAcentral. Lineage: Eukaryota; Viridiplantae; Streptophyta; Magnoliopsida; Malvales; Malvaceae.